CUACGGGACGCUGCAGUGGGGAAUAUUGGACAAUGGGGGAAACCCUGAUCCAGCAAUGCCGCGUGUGUGAAGAAGGCCUGCGGGUUGUAAAGCACUUUCGGUUGGGAGGACUGCUUCUAGCACUAAUAUUGUUGGAAGUUGACGUUACCUUCAGAAGAAGCACCGGCUAACUCCGUGCCAGCAGCCGCGGUAAUACGGAUGGUGCAAGCGUUAAUCGGAAUUACUGGGCGUAAAGCGCGCGUAGGCGGCUAGAUCAGUCGGGUAUGAAAGCCCCGGGCUUAACCUGGGAACUGCAUCCGAUACUGUCUAGCUUGAGUACAGGAGAGGAGAGUGGAAUUCCACAUGUAGCGGUGAAAUGCGUAGAUAUGUGGAGGAACACCAAUGGCGAAGGCAGCUCUCUGGCCUGAUACUGACGCUGAGGUGCGAAAGCGUGGGGAGCAAACAGGAUUAGAUACCCUUGUAGUC
This 465-nucleotide ribosomal RNA is filed under the name uncultured bacterium. RNAcentral's name for it is "partial 16S ribosomal RNA". It matches the Rfam family "Bacterial small subunit ribosomal RNA", at positions 339 to 795 of the family's 1533-position model. The record is from RNAcentral.